GUUGGCCAAAACAUUCAUUCUGGGUUUUUCCAUAGCAUCUUAACAGAAAAACUUGAAUGAAUGUUUUGGCCAAC
RNAcentral lists this microRNA precursor (74 nucleotides) under Ovis aries (sheep). Its description in RNAcentral is "miRNA (ENSOARG00000023922.1)". The record is from RNAcentral. Lineage: Eukaryota; Metazoa; Chordata; Mammalia; Artiodactyla; Bovidae.